Oreochromis aureus is the source of this 938-nucleotide long non-coding RNA. The record is from Ensembl. Lineage: Eukaryota; Metazoa; Chordata; Actinopteri; Cichliformes; Cichlidae.
GAAACGCCGCUGCCGUCGUCUGCAGAGAUGCUGCUCUACGUCUGCUUUCUCCUGUGUGUCCACAUCUGUCACAGCGCUGCAGACCUGAAAGCAGCGGCUGAGACCAUAAACUCAUCGGGGAAGUGCUGACUAAGCUCAGAGAGCAGCAGAGCAGGACUGUCCUGUUCUCAGACUAUCUAUCUAUCAGACCAGAGGAUGUCGCCCCCUGCUGGCAGUACUAAGAAUGCAGGUUUAAAAGGCUUCAGCAUCCAGGCUGUAACAUCUGAUGAAGUGGUUUUAAUUUAAAAAAGAAAAAUGAAAAGAAACAUAACUCCAGCCGUCCAUUUUUCCACUGCUUACUGGGUUCAGGUUGCAGGGCAGGACUCUGAGCAGAGGAGCCAAUGGAGUCAGUCCUCCUGUGGGGCUCCACCCAUGGCCCAACUGUAGGUGGCUGAGAGAUAACAGCUAGAUACAGCUGGGCAAUGGAACCAAUUUCCUGCAGUCGCCCUGGGCACGAGGCGGGGGGCUGGUGUUCCUGUAUCCCCUCAGUCCAUGAGAGAGUUGCUUCCCUGCAGCUCUGGGUCAGGGUCCUGACUGCUAUUUACCAAAUGCAGUUCAGAUUACCUACGUGGUGUCACCUGGUGGGGUGGGACUCCAUCGUUCUGCUGGGAGACUUCAACGCUCAGGUGGGCAUUGACAUAGGUGGGCGGAGCCUGCCUGAUCUGAACCCGAGGGGUCUUCUGUUUCUGGACUUACAUGCAAAUCCCAGUUUGUCCAUAAUGACCAUGACAAUGUCCACAGGCACUGGGAGACUGGGGACACGAGUCCGGGUGCACCUCCACUCCUGGAAGGAGCUGCAGCUCACGGUGGUUUUAACCCCAGAACCAUAAUGACAUCAUCAAAGAGAGACCAGCUUACACGAUCCUGCUGACUCUGACUGUGGAUCACUUCACUGGCAC